This 2374-nucleotide long non-coding RNA is filed under the name Hordeum vulgare. RNAcentral describes it as "long non-coding RNA (HVUL_LNC020307)". Lineage: Eukaryota; Viridiplantae; Streptophyta; Magnoliopsida; Poales; Poaceae. The record is from RNAcentral.
UCCAUGUUAAAUCAUUUUUUUUUACAAACUCCACGUUCAAUGUAGGGUGAACUUCAUGCUCAAUCUUUUUUUUCCUAACAAACUCCACGUUCAAUCUAUAAAAACAGUUCUCCACGUUCAAUCUAGGAAGAACUCCACGUUCAAUAUCUGCACGUACAAUUGUUUUUUUCUAACAGACUCCAUGUUUUCAAUCUAGGAAGAACUCCACGUUCAAUUUCUGGCCCGCAUGACAAAUAUUUUUUUCUAAUAAACUGCACGUUCAAUCUGUGGAAAACAUAUGAUAUUUUAAAGGUCCAACUGCCCCAAGCCUGUUUGGGCGGACAUCCAGGGACCGUACCUAUCCAUGGCGGCAGCAAAGACGGCAACCUGGUCUGGAGUCUGGACUGCUCCCGGCUGCGACGAAGGAAGUGUCGCCGCUCCGUUUCCUGGCCGUUGCUGCGUCCAGUCUUGAGGUAGAAGGAAGGGUCCGUGCGCUUGCUCCCGGCGUCUCAAAUAGCCUAUGUACUCUCCAAAUUUUCUCCUUCCAGUAAUCUCUUAUCCUAUUUUUUCGGUUGCAAUUGCUUCAUAUGUACGCGGCCUAUUUUGUGUCUGAUUAGUGACUAUAUGGUAGCUGCAUGUACGUGACCUAUUUUGCUUCUUCAGCGCGUGAUUGUAAAAGAGAUGCAGUGUCAGGGUGGUGCCGAUCAAUGAGGAUCUACAUGGUGAGACAUGUACCACAGACAUGUCCUGCAAGCUGCUAGAUCUGGGCAUAUCCGUCGACAAUGGUGAGAUGGAACUGGUGCUAUGGUCCUCUGUCCAGCAAACAAUGUAUAUUCUCUCUUCGCAUGUCCUUUGCUCUGCCAGUCUGAAUCUGAAUUAUCACUUUGUAUUUUGCAAUGUGCUGGAAGUGCUUGAUGAGUUUUUAAGUUGCCAAAACUCAAAUUCAUAUAGAAGAGUUGACAUAUCAUAGUACUUUUGCUGAAUUCGUAAAAAAACAUUUCCACUACAUAAUUUCUACAUAAGACAUAUAGUGCUUUCUAUUGGCAUGCUCGCCUUUCGUUGAUGACAUAAUUUCCUAUAAGCAAACUAAAUAACAUUUAUUUUCUGUUCAGAAUGGUUCCUCCAGCGGGUAAAUGUGUGUACUAUGUCCUGAACACAACAAAAUAAUACGAAUUUUGUAUGGAUUUCAAGCCACCAAUUUUUCUUAGUUGUCUUUCCAUUUCCACAUAGUGAUUAGCUACACUAUUUCUCGCCAAUUAGAAAGUACUGAACUAUUUCUUCUUCCACCGUUUCUUUACUUUCUACUAUAUAUAUGUAGUCAGUUGGUAAAAAAAUAAAAUAUACAUUUGUCACAUUGUCAAACUAUGGGUUUACUCCAGAACAUUUCCUUUCUCAUGUAUUAGGUUGGUAGGUAAAACCAUAACAGCUACAAUACAAUGAAGGUCUAUAAAAAGAAUAUAUCCGAAAUGCAUGGAUCUUAUUCUUUACUUUUUUUAGCAUGUGGAGUUACCAACUUCAUAUUCUAUGUGGAUAUAAGGAUGGAUUUAGUUGGGCCAGGCCCACUUUGGUGGGGAUUACGAUUACAAGGGGAUGCUUCAUCAAAGAUCACGGUUGUUGGUACAAAAUAUGAGGUGAAUAUUGGAAAUUUAUUCAGAUCAUUGUAACAGAAAUACAUCAUUUCUUUGCUAAUGAUUAUUUCCCAAAUUGGAGUAUAUGCAUAAUCACUAUUUUUGUCUUUGCACCAUUAGAGAUUUACAACCAUUUUAUUGGGGAUAAAAUGAAGUGAUAAACCUAUAUUAGUGGAAAAUAUUAUUUCCUUUGUGGAGAAGAGACAAGAUGGGGAAGACCAUUGGAGUCACUGAAUUUUUUACGAACUACUAGCUCUACUUUGAGGAAUGUAUCGCUUUUGUGAAAACUUCAUCUUACCUAUGAAAUAAUAUUAGUCUAGCUAUACAUGUAUUUCAGGUGGAAACCUGCACCUUUUAGGCCUGAUAUACACCUUUAUUGAUGCAAAUUCGAUCGAACUCAGAACAACUAAUUAAUCAUGUUCUCUGCAUGCGUGUCACUCAUUAUAUAUGUAUAUUAUACAUAUCUAAUGCAAUAUAAGAAUUCUUUAGAACCUACACAAGAACUUUGUUCAUGAAAGGACGAUGCUUCUUUCUCCUAUCUAUUAUAGGUUGAUCUUUUCACUUACAUAAAUUAAAUCUUCAAGCCCUAUGUCUCUGGCUUUCUACUGUUGUAUCCAUUUUGAGAAAAUAUGUGGAAACCCUAACGUUCAGACCUAUGACAAAUAGUUCAUGUACUUCUACUUUAGUAGUCAUGUUUCACUAACGGGGCACAAAUCUACACUCUCCCAAAUUGUGAUAAUAUGCUUUUUUCAAUUUAUACACCGUAA